AGGGGCACCGACGUGAACUACCCUGACAGGAAAUCAAACGUCAAUCUUUUCAGCUUCUUUGACGUAGAAUAAACGUCGAAUCCCCUGAAACACCGACGUCGUCGGUUUCUAGAGCAACCGACGCCCCAUUUCAUUUUAAAUAGACUAUAGACUCUUAUCGCCAUUCAGUUUCUGAUUAUGUCUUCAUCUCUUCUCCUUUUUCUCUGCUUUUCCUCUUCUUUUACUCGCUUGCGCACCUCUACUUUUUAUCUCUUGCGGCAUUGCAUUGUGGUUUCUCAUAACGUCAUUGUCUUUAUCCUCUUCUUUCUCUCUCUUGCAUCCGAGGAGCGUGGUUUUUUUUUUAUGCUUUACCGUUUAAACUUUCUUUAGUUUUUUAUCGAUUAUCUUGUCGUUCAACUAAUUAAAAUU
RNAcentral lists this long non-coding RNA (408 nucleotides) under Vigna radiata. Its description in RNAcentral is "long non-coding RNA (VRAD_LNC018216)". The record is from RNAcentral. Lineage: Eukaryota; Viridiplantae; Streptophyta; Magnoliopsida; Fabales; Fabaceae.